GGUUAGUUGACUCUGUUGGUCUU
Molecule: non-coding RNA, 23 nt
Filed under: Mus musculus (house mouse)
Lineage: Eukaryota; Metazoa; Chordata; Mammalia; Rodentia; Muridae
Also listed under: 1 other name
Source: RNAcentral